GAUGAACGCUGGCGGCGUGCUUAACACAUGCAAGUCGAACGAAGCAUUUAGGACAGAUUACUUCGGUUUGAAGUUCUUUAUGACUGAGUGGCGGACGGGUGAGUAACGCGUGGGUAACCUGCCUUGUACUGGGGGAUAGCAGCUGGAAACGGCUGGUAAUACCGCAUAAGCGCACAAUGUUGCAUGACAUGGUGUGAAAAACUCCGGUGGUAUAAGAUGGACCCGCGUCUGAUUAGCUAGUUGGUGAGAUAACAGCCCACCAAGGCGACGAUCAGUAGCCGACGUGAGAGGGUGACCGGCCACAUUGGGACUGAGACACGGCCCAGACUCCUACGGGAGGCAGCAGUGGGGAAUAUUGCACAAUGGAGGAAACUCUGAUGCAGCGACGCCGCGUGAGUGAAGAAGUAAUUCGUUAUGUAAAGCUCUAUCAGCAGGGAAGAUAGUGACGGUACCUGACGAAGAAGCUCCGGCUAAAUACGUG
This 481-nucleotide ribosomal RNA is filed under the name uncultured bacterium. RNAcentral's name for it is "partial 16S ribosomal RNA". It matches the Rfam family "Bacterial small subunit ribosomal RNA", at positions 28 to 507 of the family's 1533-position model. The record is from RNAcentral.